AGGAGGAAAAACCGCAGUGGCGGCAGCCAGGUCUGGAGCCCUGGAUUCAGCUCCCGCAGAAACUCCGGAGCUCUCUGUCUGCAGGGCCUGGAGGCUCUGGGGCUGA
This 106-nucleotide microRNA precursor is filed under the name Canis lupus familiaris (dog). RNAcentral's name for it is "mir-8834 microRNA precursor family". It matches the Rfam family "mir-8834 microRNA precursor family". The record is from Rfam by way of RNAcentral. Lineage: Eukaryota; Metazoa; Chordata; Mammalia; Carnivora; Canidae.